CACCGCGGUUAUACGAGAGGCUCAAAUUGAUAGCCAACGGCGUAAAGUGUGGUUAAGGAAACUCCUCAAACUAAAGCCGAAUGUCUUCACAGCAGUCAUACGCUACCGAAGGUAAGAAGCCCCUCAACGAAAGUGACUUUAUAUGACCUGAACCCACGAAAGCUAGGAAA
This 170-nucleotide ribosomal RNA is filed under the name Dactylopterus volitans (flying gurnard). RNAcentral's name for it is "partial 12S ribosomal RNA". Lineage: Eukaryota; Metazoa; Chordata; Actinopteri; Syngnathiformes; Dactylopteridae. The record is from RNAcentral.